CCGGGCCAGACUCAACGGAGCUCCGUGUGCACAGCGGCUAUAGUCUGCGAUGGGAGGGCUAAAGGAGGCGAGCAGCCAAUCACAGGAGGAGGAGCAGAGAGCGGACCGGAGCGGGACCGUGAACCGGAUCGACCUGAGCGGACGACAGAUCAUCUUUUAUCAAUCCCUGGAGACCCUCUGAACCGGUGCCACGGCUCUGCGACCUCCUGCACUUGGCUGGCCCAGGCCUGCUCUUGGCUUCGUCUGUGGAUGUGGUGCCACUGAUGCUGUUCUCUCGGUCAGGGUUCCUGAACGCACCGUGAGAACCCACGUCCAGCUGUGGGUUUCCUGUGCCCUCAGCAAUUUCCUGCAGGAGCUCGGUGCUGCUGCGGCGGCGUUCAGGUUAACGCGUGUUUGUUUGGGUUGUAUCACACUUUGUGUUCACGCUGGGCUGAUCUUCAAGUGUGUGCAUGAGCGAGUGUUUGGUCGGUUUCCAUGCCAGAGAACCUGAUGCUCUGAGACGAUGACAGACGGCCAAAAGCCCUGGAGAGAGGAGGAAAAAGAAGAAAAAGAGAUGAAGCAUGAAUGAGACAGAGGCAGGUGCAGAGGACCAGAGUGCCCAUGUGGCCUGCACAGAUAAAACCUGAGAGCUCAGUUCUGGGAGGCGGAUUAUCUCUGGUUUUUAAGAGCAUUCCUCGGUGAACGUGGACUCUCGCUCACCCCGACGUCAAACCCGACAACCUCCAGCUUCCCUGCGAACGCUGACGUCAGGGGCCAAGGUUCGGACUGUGGAGUCACAGUGAGCCGGGUCCGGUCAGUCUGGUUCCGCCCAGGGCUAUUUCAGCUUCAAAGCAAACCAGCAUUAUUCCACUGGAUUCAGCCUGUUGGGAAACCAGAAGGGGAGCGAUGCAUAAAUUAGAGAAGCCAAAUAUGAGGAAAUGGUUCGAGCUGAAGGCCCUGAGUGGCACAAAUAUGGGACGGCCUGCAGCUGCUGCAUUUGAUCAGCAGAGGAGAAGCGAUACCGGGCCUCCUCCGGAUUCUUGGUGCACGACGGAGGCAUGUGGAGGUGCAGCAGGCCUGGAUGUUUCCACCGCUUAUUAUCUGAUUGAGACGCCGCUUUAAAGACAUCAAGAGCAGAGUUGUCUCUUUCCCCUUCACUCCCACAUCCUCUGUGGUGAGAAGGUCAACUUCCAGUCUGCAGUGAAACACACACACACACACACACACACACACACACACACACACACACACACACACACACACACACACACA
Molecule: long non-coding RNA, 1251 nt
Organism: Acanthochromis polyacanthus (spiny chromis)
Lineage: Eukaryota; Metazoa; Chordata; Actinopteri; Pomacentridae
Exons: 3
Source: RefSeq, a predicted model, not a curated record